This 1205-nucleotide long non-coding RNA is filed under the name Homo sapiens (human). Its description in RNAcentral is "HSALNT0102843". The record is from RNAcentral. Lineage: Eukaryota; Metazoa; Chordata; Mammalia; Primates; Hominidae.
GCGAGCCAGGCCGGCGCUUCUCCUCCUGAUGCUUUUGCAGACCGCGGUCCUGCAGGGGCGCUUGCUGCGAGGAGCCAUGGGGCACUACGUCUUAGCUGAACGUGAGUGACACGCAGCCUGCAGACUCACUGUGGGAAGGAGACAAAACUAGAGACUCAAAGAGGGAGUGCAUUUAUGAGCUCUUCAUGUUUCAGGAGAGAGUUGAACCUAAACAUAGAAAUUGCCUGACGAACUCCUUGAUUUUAGCCUUCUCUGUUCAUUUCCUCAAAAAGAUUUCCCCAUUUAGGUUUCUGAGUUCCUGCAUGCCGGUGAUCCCUAGCUGUGACCUCUCCCCUGGAACUGUCUCUCAUGAACCUCAAGCUGCAUCUAGAGGCUUCCUUCAUUUCCUCCGUCACCUCAGAGACAUACACCUAUGUCAUUUCAUUUCCUAUUUUUGGAAGAGGACUCCUUAAAUUUGGGGGACUUACAUGAUUCAUUUUAACAUCUGAGAAAAGCUUUGAACCCUGGGACGUGGCUAGUCAUAACCUUACCAGAUUUUUACACAUGUAUCUAUGCAUUUUCUGGACCCGUUCAACUUUUCCUUUGAAUCCUCUCUCUGUGUUACCCAGUAACUCAUCUGUCACCAAGCCUUGGGGAUUCUUCCAUCUGAUUGUGAUGUGAGUUGCACAGCUAUGAAGGCUGUACACUGCACGAAUGGAAGAGGCACCUGUCCCAGAAAAAGCAUCAUGGCUAUCUGUGGGUAGUAUGAUGGGUGUUUUUAGCAGGUAGGAGGCAAAUAUCUUGAAAGGGGUUGUGAAGAGGUGUUUUUUCUAAUUGGCAUGAAGGUGUCAUACAGAUUUGCAAAGUUUAAUGGUGCCUUCAUUUGGGAUGCUACUCUAGUAUUCCAGACCUGAAGAAUCACAAUAAUUUUCUACCUGGUCUCUCCUUGUUCUGAUAAUGAAAAUUAUGAUAAGGAUGAUAAAAGCACUUACUUCGUGUCCGACUCUUCUGAGCACCUACUUACAUGCAUUACUGCAUGCACUUCUUACAAUAAUUCUAUGAGAUAGGUACUAUUAUCCCCAUUUCUUUUUUAAAUGAAGAAAGUGAAGUAGGCCGGGCACGGUGGCUCACGCCUGUAAUCCCAGCACUUUGGGAGGCCAAAGCGGGUGGAUCACGAGGUCAGGAGAUCGAGACCAUCCUGGCUAACAUGGUGAAACCCCAUCUCU